Seriola aureovittata is the source of this 2366-nucleotide long non-coding RNA. RefSeq lists it as uncharacterized. The transcript has 2 exons. The record is from RefSeq and is a predicted model, not a curated record. NCBI's taxonomy places the organism in Eukaryota, Metazoa, Chordata, Actinopteri, Carangiformes, Carangidae.
CUGCAUCAGCUAACAUCCUGCAUUGAUUAGUAUUUGACCUGUGCCAGCUGACGUGCUUCUCUGAGGACACAUGAUGACACGUUUUCAUGUCAUCUCAAACAAGAUGAUUAUUCACAAUAACAGCGAUACUGAUCUUUAAAAUACAAUCAAUAACAUCAUCUUCAUCUACUCCCACCUGACUCCAGUCCAGCGAAACUGGCAACAGCAGCUCUAGUUACUGUCAAACUGAUUUUCUCAGCUACAUAAAAGAUGACAACCAAGUGACAGGGCCUCGUCCAAUAAACACGAAACAAGCAAUUAACCCAACUAUCACCCUAUAAUCAUGAAUCGACUGUGGAGCUAGCUGGUUCCCGCUUUGCUAGCGAUUGUCCCCAUUUUGGCAGCAGGGCCUUUUUGGAGGGAAAACAUGGAACAUCUGGUGGAAGAAACAGGGGCUGGCACAACAUGAUGGGAGAACAAGUGCCUCAAAGCUUCAUUAUGUCCCAGCUGUUGGGCUUGCUGUUGCCCUUAGCAAAAACAACCUCGGCAGGAUGAUGCUCCUGGCAAAUACGCUGCAGAUUAUUUGAAGCAAGACCUUUUUUUUUUUUUUUUUGUGAUGUUUUAUAGGGAAAACAUGAGCAGGAGCUAUUGCCGGGUGCAGCAGAGCCCACUCUCUCAGGUUGGACAGCUUGUUCAAGUCGAAUGCUAUUAGUUCUGGGUCAACGCCUGGGCUUUCUCUACACCCCAACAACACCUUUUCACCAGGCAGGGAUUCCAACCACCAUUAAUCAGAGUGGUGACAGCCCAUGGAUGUCAGUAAAUAUGUUUCCCUCACUGCCUCUUUUUCCCACCUCUUUCCUCUCUCACUCUCUCCAUUGCUCUUACGAUUGUACUUUUUCCCCGUUCUUUGGGGUUUAAUAUUGACCUGUUCUUGCUUUGAUCUUUAUUAUUAUCAGGAUCCAACAAUGGAACCUGCCAUAUAUAUAUAUAUAUAUAUAUAUAUACAUUUACGUUAGAUAGGUUGAGCCAGGAUGCUUGGAUUUGGUACACAGACAAACUGAGAACAUAUUGAGAGGAAAAAAACACACCAAGAACAGAAAAUUGUUUUGAGGGGUAAAAUUAAACUCUUUUGCGUGUUCCCUGCUACAUCAAACAUUCUCCUACAGCCAGCUUUCUCUUAUAAAUUUUAUAUGCUUGUUUUUUUGCACUGAACAUAAGUGUUUGCCAGGUGCUUAUGAAUGUUGUCUGAACAAAAUGUCCUCUCAGUUGAGACAUAGUGACAGUUUCCUUUCCUGCACGGGUGGUACAGCUGACAGGAGGGGACGAGCGUUGGCUUGCACAGUGGCUGCUGCUGUGUGCGUGUGCACGCGUGUCUGUGUAUGUAUGUGAGCGGGUGACAUGCAGGCACACGGCCAACGGCAGCCAGUCGGAGAAGUGGGUGCCCAUCUUGGUUUGGCAUGCAGGGCCGGGUACCUGCUGCUGUCCAGAGACAGCUGUAACGUAUCCACCCGUGGCGGUGCAAAAGGUUGGUGGCUACUGAAGGCUGAUAAUGCUGCAGUCUUCAUUUUUCUCUGCCUGGUAGACGGAGCUGCAACAAACCAAUGACAGGCUUUCUUCAUGAAAUUAACUCCAGCCAGAGAAGUAAACAGAGAGCAGGAAAGAGCAGGAAGAGAGAGGAGAUGUGACAAAGAGAGAGAGACGAAGAGAUAAAGAUAUAAAGAGAUAAAGAGAGGCAGAGUGAGAGAGAAUGCCAUGAAACAAAUGGUGACCUUUGCAAAGAUGGAUUUGUUUACCAACAAAUGUUUCUCGCUGCCAACACCUGUUUCAGAGUGACCUUCACAUGGAGGCAGAGCUGACGGCUCUCAUCUGUUCAUCUUUGUGCUCACUUGUCAACACUAAGUCAUAUCCAUUGAACGGACAACAUGAACCAUGUUUCUGCUGCGUCUGUUGAUGCAUGGAGCCCUUUCAUUCCACUGCAAACAGUCAUGUUCAUUUCAUCACUAUUAGCUGUAAUCAUGUUGGCUCAAACAGGCCCAUGCUAACCGGCUUGCGAUGGUAAUUCUUCCAAUAAUUGAAGUGUUGAAGUGAUAAAUGCAGGAGACGCUCUCCAUUGUUGCAGAAAUGUAUGAACCUAUUGUGUUUAAUAAUCUCUGCAUGGCAAAAUGAGUUCAAUAUUUGUGCAGUCAUUGAAUCUGCAUCCUACUAGUAUGUAUUAAUAUUUAUUUUUAUUAUGUUGUAUUGUUUAUAUUAUCAUUUAUGUUGUCCCAUUAUGUGGUAUGCAUUGUUUCGGGGCAGAUGUCUUUAUUUUGGCUUAUGCAAUGCACUUCCUGUCGUCAGCGUUUGAAUGCAUUUCAAAUAAACUUACCUUGCUUUGCUCUGCCUUACAA